AUUGAACGCUGGCGGCAGGCCUAACACAUGCAAGUCGAACGAGUGGCGGACGGGUGAGUAAUGUCUGGGAACCUGCCUGAUGGAGGGGGAUAACUACUGGAAACGGUAGCUAAUACCGCAUACCAUCAGAUGUGCCCAGAUGGGAUUAGCUAGUUGGUGGGGUAACGGCUCACCAAGGCGACGGUCCCUAGCUGGUCUGAGAGGAUGACCAGCUACACUGGAACUGAGACAGGGUCCAGAGUCCUACGGGAGGCAGCAGUGGGGAAUAUUGCACAAUGGGCGCAAGCCUGAUGCAGCCAGGCCGAGUGUAUGAAGAAGGCCUUCGGGUUGUAAAGUACGUUCAGCGGGGAGGCGUUACCCGUAGAAGAAGCACCGGCUAACUCCGUGCCAGCAGCCGCGGUAAUUC
RNAcentral lists this ribosomal RNA (406 nucleotides) under uncultured bacterium. RNAcentral's name for it is "partial 16S ribosomal RNA". It matches the Rfam family "Bacterial small subunit ribosomal RNA", at positions 30 to 526 of the family's 1533-position model. The record is from RNAcentral.